AUUGAACGCUGGCGGCAGGCCUAACACAUGCAAGUCGAGCGGAUGAGGGGAGCUUGCUCCUGGAUUCAGCGUCGGACGGGUGUGUAAUGCCUAGGAAUCUGCUUGGUAGUGGGGGAGAACGUCCUGAAACGGGCGCUAAUACCGCAUACGUCCUGAGGGAGAAAGAUGGGGAGCUUCGGACCUCACGCUCGCAGAUGGGCCUAGGUCGGAUUAGCUAGUUGGUGGGGUAAAGGCCUACCAAGGCGACGAUCCGUUACUGGUCUGAGAGAAUGAUCAGUCACACUAGAACUGAGACAGGGACCAGACGCCUGCGGGACGCACCAGUGGCGAAUAUUGGACAGUAGGCGGAAGCAUGGUACAGCCAUGCCGCGUGUGUGACGAAGGCCUUCGGAGUGUAAAGCACGUUAAGGUGGGAGAAACGGCAGUAAGUUAAUACCUUGCUGUAUUGACGUUACCAGCAGAAUAAGCACCGGCUAACUUCGUG
This 484-nucleotide ribosomal RNA is filed under the name uncultured bacterium. RNAcentral's name for it is "partial 16S ribosomal RNA". It matches the Rfam family "Bacterial small subunit ribosomal RNA", at positions 30 to 507 of the family's 1533-position model. The record is from RNAcentral.